RNAcentral lists this ribosomal RNA (342 nucleotides) under Triticum aestivum (bread wheat). RNAcentral describes it as "partial small subunit ribosomal RNA". Lineage: Eukaryota; Viridiplantae; Streptophyta; Magnoliopsida; Poales; Poaceae. The record is from RNAcentral.
AUGGCAGAAGCACGUAACGGCGCCGGCGACUCAGAAGUGGAAACAAGCAACGGCGUAGGUGUCUCAGAAGCGGCGACUCAAGGCCACGACGACAGCUCGAGGCGUCGUUGUCACGCCGGUGCAGAGGCGCCGGCGAGGCGGCGGGUUGAAGUAGAGCCCAGCUGUGGUGAUGUAGGCGACAGGGUGGCUCAAGGUGAGGCCAAGUGCGGCGCGCGGAGGGGCAGCAACAGGCGGCUUGCGGGCGUGACCUGGCCGAGCGCGACCCAGCGGGGCUGCUCAGAGGCAAAGGCAACACUCGGAAGCGGCCAGCCGAGGCCACAUCGGAGGCUCAGCGCAAGGUGA